This 1443-nucleotide long non-coding RNA is filed under the name Pan troglodytes (chimpanzee). RNAcentral describes it as "long non-coding RNA NONPTRT006134". Lineage: Eukaryota; Metazoa; Chordata; Mammalia; Primates; Hominidae. The record is from RNAcentral.
CGCGUCGGCGAUCAGGGGUCUGGGCGCGGCGAGUGGCCGGCUCACCUCAUUCCUGCCAAGACCCAGGUCCGUGUUCUCACAGCGCUGCCAUCUUUCCUCCGUGUGAGCGUGUGCUGUGCGGAGAGUGGACCUCGGUGUGUGCGGGGCUGCGUGCACUGCCAUCGGCUCCCUCUACACGAGCCGCCGUGGACCCAGGGCUGAGCUGUGACCACGAGGGCCAUCCCGACGAGCCGCCAUGGACCCAGGGCUGAGCUGUGACCACGAGGGCCAUCCCGAAACUGUGAUUGUUUUCUGGUAUGUGGGGGAUGUGCCAGAACCAGGGCUGAGCUGUGACCACGAGGGCCAUCCCGACGAGCCGCCAUGGACCCAGGGCUGAGCUGUGACCACGAGGGCUAUCCCGACGAGCCGCCGUGGACCCAGGGCUGAGCUGUGACCACGAGGGCUAUCCCGACGAGCCGCCGUGGACCCAGGGCUGAGCUGUGACCACGAGGGCUAUCCCGACGAGCCGCCGUGGACCCAGGGCUGAGCCGUGACCAUGAGGGCCAUCCCGAAACUGUGAUUGUUUUCUGGUAUGUGGGGGAUGUGCCAGAACCAGGGCUGAGCUGUGACCCGAGGGCCAUCCCGGAGCUGUGAUUGUUUUCUGGUGUGUGGGGAAUGUGCCAGCACUCACGUGGCUAUGGCUGCUUUUGCACCAUGGGUGCGUGUGCCAAACAGGAGAGCAGCUCUGCCCAGCAGAAGCCACUUAGAGGGUCUCAAGGGGUCUGCAGACCACCUGUAAGAACAACUUGUUCUGAGACGAGGGAGACCCCACCAUGCUGGGCACAGCCCAGCUGGGGUGCGGUGGGGGGGCACACCCUGUCCACGGCACCGCAGAAAUGAUGCUUGGUGGAUGGGAUGGCAACGGGACCAGGACCCGCUGGCUGGGCUGUGUCUCCAUCUCAGCCCCUCUUUUUGCCAAUGCAAAACAGUUGAGUUUCACAAGGGCCUUGUGCGGAUGAGAAGUGCCCUGUGAUCUCACUGCCCACCUUCUCUCGCCUCUCAGCUUCUUUUCUGAAGUUUCCUGGGCCUCCCCGCUGCCUGUUCCCAGGGGAAGCAAAAAGGAGCUGGUAUUUGGGGCUGGAUAAGCAAUACUGCAGUGAUCUGCGUCUUCCUGUGGAUGUAUCACAGGCUCACCCUCACUCAGAGAACAAGCACAGGGGAGGGGAGGAGAGGGGAGGGAGAAGCAGGGGAGCUGCUGAAGAGAAGGGGCUGCUUUAAGAUUCCCAGAUUUGGCGUUGAGGUGGGGGUUUCUGGGAAGGAGCUGGGGUGGCAGUGCUGAUUGACAUCCUGUGGGAAGGUGGCCCUGCAUUUCCUUGGGAUUCCCAGAGAUGGCGCGUGACCCCUGGCAAGAUGGGAGGCGUCUAUCUCCCCUGUUAGGCUGGGCCCUGGGUCUGAAACUCUGCC